GAUGAACGCUGGCGGCGUGCUUAACACAUGCAAGUCGAACGAUGAAGCCCAGCUUGCUGGGUGGAUUAGUGGCGAACGGGUGAGUAACACGUGAGUAACCUGCCCUUAACUCUGGGAUAAGCCUGGGAAACUGGGUCUAAUACCGGAUAGGAGCGUCCACCGCAUGGUGGGUGUUGGAAAGAUUUAUCGGUUUUGGAUGGACUCGCGGCCUAUCAGCUUGUUGGUGAGGUAAUGGCUCACCAAGGCGACGACGGGUAGCCGGCCUGAGAGGGGGACCGGCCACACUGGGACUGAGACACGGCCCAGACUCCUACGGGAGGCAGCAGUGGGGAAUAUUGCACAAUGGGCGCAAGCCUGAUGCAGCGACGCCGCGUGAGGGAUGACGGCCUUCGGGUUGUAAACCUCUUUCAGUAGGGAAGAAGCGAAAGUGACGGUACCUGCAGAAGAAGCACCGGCUAACUACGU
Molecule: ribosomal RNA, 465 nt
Filed under: uncultured bacterium
Lineage: Bacteria
Description: partial 16S ribosomal RNA
Rfam family: Bacterial small subunit ribosomal RNA
Source: RNAcentral